Triticum dicoccoides is the source of this 774-nucleotide long non-coding RNA. RefSeq lists it as uncharacterized. The transcript has 3 exons. The record is from RefSeq and is a predicted model, not a curated record. NCBI's taxonomy places the organism in Eukaryota, Viridiplantae, Streptophyta, Magnoliopsida, Poales, Poaceae.
CUGACUAUGGAGUAUUGCGAUGUUUUUGUCAAACACCUGCUGUCUCCAUCCUUGAAACGUCUGCGCAUCGCCAGCUGCGAUAGUACAGAGUAUACUCGCAUUCUUAUUUCUCUACCAAGUCUCGUUUCACUCGAGUUGAUUGAAUGGCAACGAGGAAGGGCCCCAUUGCUUGGAAGCUUGCCGUGGUUAGCAAGAGCCGUUGUUAAACUUGGCGAUGAUGCUGCUGAUCGAUGCUCUAAAGGUCAAUUCGAUGAUUGUGGUGUUUAUAUCUGCCAUGGUUGUCGUUAUUAUUAUUAUCAUCAUCAUGGGGAUCCUGAAUAUGGGCCUGGUUAUGACCGCAACGAUAGCAUCUUUCUCAAAGGUUUGUCAGAAGCCACGGACUUGGAGUUGUCAGCUGAAUCUGACGUGAUUGUUUUCAACAGGGAUUUGAAUUGGUGCCCUACAUUUACAAAGUUAAAGACUUUGUUACUCAAUGACUGGUGUUUGGCUGCUGACCACAAUGCAUUGAUUUAUUUUCUCUAGCACUCACCAGUGUUGGAGAAGCUUACUCUUCAACUUUCUAAGGCACGUCCAAAUGUGAUGAAUAUGAAAGGAAUAUACAAACCAUUGGGACAGUCAGUUGCAUCCAACUGUCUUAAACUUGUUCAAAUCAAAUGUGCAAAAAUCAAUAGCUGUGUUUAUGGAAUUUUGAAGACACUGACUACCUAUGGAGUAAGCCUUGAGAAAAUUAAUAUCACUAGCAGAAUUUCGGGAUCUGGAUGUAAGUUACUGUUC